RNAcentral lists this long non-coding RNA (594 nucleotides) under Ananas comosus (pineapple). RNAcentral's name for it is "long non-coding RNA (ACOM_LNC029660)". Lineage: Eukaryota; Viridiplantae; Streptophyta; Magnoliopsida; Poales; Bromeliaceae. The record is from RNAcentral.
CGAAUGACGCACCUCGCACGGUUGAUUGAUUUUGAUUUUACCGUGGGGUAGUAUUCAUGAUGUAGAUUAAAGUAUGUGUAUGUAUGGUUAUCAGGUAUUGUGGAUUCAUGGCUUCCAAUAAACGCAAGCGUCUAUUGUUAAUUACCCCUAUAAAGUGUUAGGGCACCUUCGAUUAAGAGACCUCUGAAAUGCUGAAGAUAAACUAGAAUUGGACAAAAAGGAAAUUUACAAUUUAUUGCUCAAUUACAUGGCUUUAACCAAGGGCAUACCCUCAGUGUAUAUGAAUAGAGCGUAAAGAAAAUGUAUUUUUCAAUUGUAUCUUAGUUAUAUAUUCUAAGAUACCCAAUAUAUGGUCAAAUUAAUUUUGUUGGACUCUAUAUGUUGUGGAGCUCAACACUAUUCACCCUAAGAUGAAAGAUUGAUUAAAUUCCAUAUAUAUAUGCAUUGGAAUUUAAUCAGAUUUAAUUCAGAUUAAACUCUAAUUAUAUGUAUUAGAGUUUGAUUUGGUUAAUUGAACUUUAAAUAUAUGUAAUAAAGUCCAAUAGAUGAUCAGAUUUUGUUGAGCUCUAUAUAUUUUGGAGCUCAACUUUGUUU